UCCAUUUUAGCUCUAAUAGUGUUUGUAAUUAGCUCUUUUUCUUUAUUUAAAAAAUAAAAAUUAAAAAUUUGCUCCAUCAACUGAGCAAAAGUUGUGGACAGCAGUAAAGUUAAGUAGUCUGACUAAAUCUGCAUAAAAACUGAUUGCUACAUAAAAACUUUUAUUGAACCGUGGCCAUAAGGUGAAUAGUGUAACUGUUUUAUCCAUCCCUCUGGGAAUCACCUUUUUUUUUAGUUUUCUUUUUAUUUAUUUUUUAAGUAAAACUUUUUUCAUUUGCUUAGUGCUGUUCAGUCUGCCUCUGAAACUACCUUGUAGGUAGCAUUUGAUUUGCACUGCUACUGAAUGAGGGUUUUUACCUCCCUCCUCCCCCCUCCGGUCCAUGUGCAUGAUGGCCAAAAAUAGUGAGUAUCCACUUUGUAGCUCACUUUUUUAAAAUAAAAAAUCCCCUUCCCCCAAUCUACAAUUAAAUGACAUUCUCAAAGGAAGUGAUAGGUGCCAUGCUCCCAAUUGUCUGAAAAAUACAGGGCCCCUCAUCUGAAAACAUUUCUGGCAACAGUAUAGCAUAGCGUAGAAGUCCUGCAAGGUUUUAGGGGUUUGGGCAGCCAUAAUGUUUACGUCUUAUGACUCAAGAGGAAAGGAAAAACAAUAAAAUAUUGGCUGUUCACACUGCAUAAAAUAAAGGUGAGAAAUCAUAGCUUAAUAGCACCUUAUUCACAUCUAUAAUUAUGCAGCUGGUGCAAGCAGUUGUUUAAGCUAUUCUAAUGAAGAUACGACAACUGGUAGUUACUUAUUCUAUCCCCUCCAAAAUGCUUUUUCUUUUGUGUAUAGCUUAUA
Long non-coding RNA from Dermochelys coriacea (leatherback sea turtle), 834 nucleotides. RefSeq lists it as uncharacterized. Lineage: Eukaryota; Metazoa; Chordata; Testudines; Dermochelyidae. The transcript has 2 exons. The record is from RefSeq and is a predicted model, not a curated record.